Molecule: transfer RNA, 73 nt
Filed under: Bacteroidota bacterium
Lineage: Bacteria; Pseudomonadati; Bacteroidota
Also listed under: 2 other names
Description: tRNA-Pro
Rfam family: tRNA
About the family: Transfer RNA (tRNA) molecules are approximately 80 nucleotides in length. Their secondary structure includes four short double-helical elements and three loops (D, anti-codon, and T loops).
Source: RNAcentral
CGGGACAUGGCCCAGUUGGUAAGGCGCCUGCUUUGGGAGCAGGAGAUCGCAGGUUCGAGUCCUGCUGUCCCGA